RNAcentral lists this ribosomal RNA (253 nucleotides) under uncultured bacterium. RNAcentral describes it as "partial 16S ribosomal RNA". It matches the Rfam family "Bacterial small subunit ribosomal RNA", at positions 524 to 776 of the family's 1533-position model. The record is from RNAcentral.
UACGUAGGGUGCGAGCGUUAAUCGGAAUUACUGGGCGUAAGGCGUGCGCAGGCGGUUUUAUAAGCCAGAUGUGAAAGCCCCGGGCUCAACCUGGGAAUGGCAUUUGGGACUGUAAGGCUGGAGUAUGGCAGAGGAGACUAGAAUUCCUGGUGUAGCAGUGAAAUGCGUAGAUAUCAGGAGGAAUACCGAUGGCGAAGGCAGGUCUCUGGGCCAAUACUGACGCUCAUGCACGAAAGCGUGGGGAGCAAACAGG